RNAcentral lists this non-coding RNA (43 nucleotides) under actinobacterium LLX17. RNAcentral describes it as "L31-Actinobacteria ribosomal protein leader". It matches the Rfam family "L31-Actinobacteria ribosomal protein leader". The record is from RNAcentral. Lineage: Bacteria; Bacillati; Actinomycetota; Actinomycetes.
UUGGUCCUGGUUCACGACGCGCGCCGCGCGACGACCCAGCGCC